GUAGGGUGCAAGCGUUAAUCGGAAUUACUGGGCGUAAGGUGUGCGCAGGCGGUUUUGUAAGUCUGAUGUGAAAUCCCCGGGCUCAACCUGGGAACUGCAUUGGAGACUGCAAGGCUAGAGUGUGUCAGAGGGGGGUAGAAUUCCACGUGUAGCAGUGAAAUGCGUAGAGAUGUGGAGGAAUACCGAUGGCGAAGGCAGCCCCCUGGGAUAACACUGACGCUCAUGCACGAAAGCGUGGGGAGCAAACAGGAUUAGAUACCCUGGUAGUCCACGCCCUAAACGAUGUCUACUAGUUGUCGGGACUUAAUUGUCUUGGUAACGCAGCUAACGCGUGAAGUAGACCGCCUGGGGAGUAUGGUCGCAAGAUUA
This 369-nucleotide ribosomal RNA is filed under the name uncultured bacterium. Its description in RNAcentral is "bacterial SSU rRNA". It matches the Rfam family "Bacterial small subunit ribosomal RNA", at positions 527 to 896 of the family's 1533-position model. The record is from RNAcentral.